ACGUUUGAGGAUUUGAUCCUGGUCCAGGAUGAACGCUGGCGGCGUGGAUAAGGCAUGCAAGUCGAACGGUGUCAGUGCGAAGCACUGACCGCAGAACAACGCAGAAUUGACGCAGACAGUCGCGGAAGAAUUUUUUUUCUGCGUAAGUCUGCGUUUGGUCCGCGUAUUUCCGCGGUCAAUGCUUUGCGUUGACAUAGUGGCGAACGAGUUAGUAAUACCUUGGAAUCUACCUCCGAGUUGGGGAUAGCUCUGGGAAACCAGAGGUAAUACCCAAUAGCACCUUGUGCUUUGCACAAGGAAAUUCUAAAUUCUAAUCUCUAAACUCUAAACAAAUUUUAAAUUCAAAAUCCAAAUACUUAAAACAAAACGUUUUGAGUUUCGGGCGUUUGAGUUUUGAUAUUGUUUAGGAUUUAGGAAUUAGAUAUUAGGAUUUCCUUGCGUAGAGCGCGAGGUUAAAGGAGCAAUUUGCUCGGAGAGGAGCCUAGGUCCCAUCAGCUUGUUGGUAGGGUAAUGGCCUACCAAGGCUACGACGGGUAGGGGGGGUGAGAGCCCGGUCCCCAACGGCGGCACUGAGACACGGGCCGCACACCUACGGGUGGCAGCAGUCGAGAAUAUUCCACAAUGGGCGAAAGCCUGAUGGAGCGACGCCGCGUGCAGGAUGAAGGCCUUCGGGUUGUAAACUGCUUUUCUAUGGGAGGAAGACGCAUCUCACUAAGGCGAGAUGCUAAAUGACUAAUAGCUAAUUACUAAUUUCUAAUCAAUUACUAGUGUCAAUAUGCCAAAUGUCUAACAUGUUUAGUCAUUUAAUCAUUAUGUCAUUAGGGUUUGAUUAGUUAUUAGAUAUUAGAAAUUAGAAAUUUUAGCACCGAACUUUAGUGAGGUGCGUUUGACAGUACCGUAGGAAUAAGGGGCUGCAAACUUCGUGCCAGCAGCCGCGGUAAUACGAAGGCCCCAAGCGUUAUCCGGAUUUAUUGGGCGUAAAGAGCGCGUAGGAGGUUUGGCGGGUCUGUAGUUAAAUUUCACGGCUCAACUGUGAAGCUGCUACGGAAACUACCAGACUAGAGGACGUUAGAGGCAAGUGGAACACACAGUGUAGGGGUGAAAUCCGUUGAUAUUGUGUGGAACACCAAAGGCGAAGGCAUCUUGCUGGGGCGUUCCUGACUCUGAGGCGCGAAAGCGUGGGUAGCGAAAAGGAUUAGAUACCCUUGUAGUCCACGCCGUAAACGAUGUCCGCUGGCUGUCUCGAGUAUCGACCCUCGGGGUGGCGAAGCUAACGCGUUAAGCGGACCGCCUGGGAAGUACGGCCGCAAGGCUAAAACUCAAAGGAAUAGACGGGGACUCGCACAAGCAGUGGAGCAUGUGGUUUAAUUCGAUGGUAAGCGAGGCACCUCACCAGGGCUUGAAAUUCAGAUGAAGAUCGUCCGAAAGGAUGAUUGUCUCACAAGGACAUCUGGACAGGUGCUGCAUGGUUGCCGUCAGCUCGUGCCGUGAGGCGUUCCCUUAAGUGGGGUAACGAGCGCAACCCCUGUUUCGUGUUAUAUGUGUCACGAAAGACUGCCACGUCAUACGUGGAGGAAGGUGGGGACGACGUCAAAUCAGCAUGGCCCUUUGAUGCCCUGGGCGACACACAUGCUACAAUGGUUGGUACAGAGGGUUGCCAAGCCGCGAGGCGGAGCUAAUCCCUAAAAACCAGCCCCAGUUCGGAUUGGAGUCUGAAACUCGACUCCAUGAAGUCGGAAUUGCUAGUAAUCGCGGAUCAGAACGCCGCGGUGAAUACGUUAUCGAGUCCUGUACUCACAAGAACCGCGCCUGGCAGGCGCGUAGACAAGAGGGUUAAAAUCCCUUCCUCC
Non-coding RNA from Candidatus Jorgensenbacteria bacterium, 1850 nucleotides. The record is from Rfam. NCBI's taxonomy places the organism in Bacteria, Candidatus Joergenseniibacteriota.